Molecule: long non-coding RNA, 852 nt
Organism: Capsicum annuum
Lineage: Eukaryota; Viridiplantae; Streptophyta; Magnoliopsida; Solanales; Solanaceae
Exons: 3
Source: RefSeq, a predicted model, not a curated record
GAUUGCUCAUAUGAGCUAUGUCUAAGCUGAUGCCAAGAACUUCGGAGAGGCAUGUUUCCAGGAAAGAGUUGUAAAGCAGUUUACAAAUAUUCAGAUAGAGGCUGUUAUUACAUGCACAGUGGAGAGCCACUUCCUGAAAGUUUUCAUAAUAUGGAAAUUCCACAGGACCAGAACAAACCAAUUUCAUGGGUUGCUAAUUGUGAUGGUUAUAUCAUUUGUACUCCUGUCGAAAUGGGUGGAUGUGGAAAAUACAUUUUAGAGCUCAAGCAUCUGCUACCAAGAAACUGGAUAUCAACCUUAAAGCAAAAGCAGAAAGGAUUCUGAUUCAAUGCAAUUUUUCCCAGAUGACUUCCCUGCCGAUUUGUAGAACAGAUGACCCUCAACAGUUACACAGGGUGGCUUCAAGAGUUGGUUCCGAUGAUAACUGCUUAUAUUCCACUACUGCAAAAGACGUUAUGGUGGAUGAAUGAUGAUGCACUUCUACACUUCCAUAAAAAUGAUGAUGCACUUCUACACUUCCAUAAACACUGGGCCUAGGGUGAACCGAUGAUUUUACGAAAUGUGCUUGAGCAUACAAGCGAUUUAAGCUGGGAACCAAUGGUUAUGUGGCGUAAGAAGAAACAGAAGUUCACUGUUAUAAAGUUAUUGAAGCUUCAAUCAGGGGUAAAAAGGCAAAAUAGAUUUCCUUGUGGAGAUUUAAAAAUUAGGUUUACACUUUGAAUAUUCUCUGUGCCAGCUGUUGAUAAUGCCACACUACAAAGAAGAAAUAUUUUUCCAUUAUGUAAAUAGUAUGUCAUAUAAAUAUGCAAUGUAAAUAAUACAAUUAUAAAUGAACGUUUGUCAAUCAUAAAA